Molecule: long non-coding RNA, 732 nt
Filed under: Homo sapiens (human)
Lineage: Eukaryota; Metazoa; Chordata; Mammalia; Primates; Hominidae
Description: novel transcript
Source: RNAcentral
CUCAUAUGCGCCAAGAACCUCAAAUUUAAAAUUGGGAUUUUUUUUUACUUAAAAAAAAAAUCUGACUACCCUCAAAUAUACAAAUGAUUCUAGUCUUCCCUGAUUUCUAAAAGGUCCUGAUACCAAACAUGAACCUGCAUUUUCAUCCAUCUUUGCAACCAGUAUUGAUAGAGUGGCUACUGUGACUUGCACUAAGCUGGGUGGGCAUGCUUUAGGCACCCAGGGAAGCAAGGCAUGGUCUCUCACCUCAAGGAGCCCACCCACUUCCAGGAGAAACAGGUCUGUCCACUUGAAACUGCCCUGGUGUGAUGCAUGGCUUGCUGGAGGCAUGGAGAAGUGGGAAAAUUCUAAGGUGAUUCGAGUUGGGACCUACUCAGAGAAUGGUUCAUAUAAGGAAGAAUAAGUACCCCGAUAUGGGUGGAUAAUUUCUCACAAGAGACAUGACUUGAGCAAAGAUACACAAACAUAAAAAGUAGCUUUGCCACUUCAUUCUUGGGCCCACGCUGAAGAACCAGUCUUUUUCUGAAACAUUGCUAAGAAUGUGGCAGAAGGAAGAGAUAUGGCAGAACUUCAUCAUGGCCCUGACAAACUCUGCUCUGAAAACCUUCAUGAUGGUGCUGAAAACUGACUCCCCCUGAGAGUUCCUUGGCUAAAUGAGUCACUUGGCCAAGCCUGACAUCCUCAGAGUGGGAAAACAAUCUUCCCAAAAUAAGGGCACCAUAAAUUACAUAG